GCUCCCGUAGUGUAGUCCGGCCAAUCUUUCACAAUGAAACUGGCGACCCGGGUUCGAAUCCCGGCGGGAGCA
RNAcentral lists this transfer RNA (72 nucleotides) under Promethearchaeota archaeon. Its description in RNAcentral is "Candidatus Lokiarchaeota archaeon tRNA-Phe". It matches the Rfam family "tRNA". Rfam says of the family: Transfer RNA (tRNA) molecules are approximately 80 nucleotides in length. Their secondary structure includes four short double-helical elements and three loops (D, anti-codon, and T loops). Lineage: Archaea; Promethearchaeati; Promethearchaeota. The record is from RNAcentral.